This 67-nucleotide transfer RNA is filed under the name marine eukaryotic metagenome. It matches the Rfam family "tRNA". From Rfam's summary of the family: Transfer RNA (tRNA) molecules are approximately 80 nucleotides in length. Their secondary structure includes four short double-helical elements and three loops (D, anti-codon, and T loops). The record is from RNAcentral.
GGGCGUAACUCAGGGGUAGAGUGCUUGCUUCCCAAGCAAGAUGUCGUGGGUUCGAAUCCCAUCGCCC